This 253-nucleotide ribosomal RNA is filed under the name uncultured bacterium. RNAcentral describes it as "partial 16S ribosomal RNA". It matches the Rfam family "Bacterial small subunit ribosomal RNA", at positions 524 to 776 of the family's 1533-position model. The record is from RNAcentral.
UACGUAGGGUGCGAGCGUUAAUCGGAAUUACUGGGCGUAAAGCGUGCGCAGGCGGUUUUGUAAGCCAGAUGUGAAAUCCCCGGGCUUAACCUGGGAAUGGCAUUUGGGACUGCAAGGCUAGAGUGUGGCAGAGGAGACUGGAAUUCCUGGUGUAGCAGUGAAAUGCGUAGAUAUCAGGAGGAAUACCGAUGGCGAAGGCAGGUCUCUGGGCUGACACUGACGCUCAUGCACGAAAGCGUGGGGAGCAAACAGG